This 515-nucleotide ribosomal RNA is filed under the name uncultured bacterium. RNAcentral's name for it is "partial 16S ribosomal RNA". It matches the Rfam family "Bacterial small subunit ribosomal RNA", at positions 28 to 523 of the family's 1533-position model. The record is from RNAcentral.
GAUGAGCGCUGGCGGCGUGCCUAAUACAUGCAAGUCGAGCGAAUGGAUUAAGAGCUUGCUCUUAUGAAGUUAGCGGCGGACGGGUGAGUAACACGAGGGUAACCUGCCCAUAAGACUGGGAUAACUCCGGGAAACCGGGGCUAAUACCGGAUAACAUUUUGAACCGCAUGGUUCGAAAUUGAAAGGCGGCUUCGGCUGUCACUUAUGGAUGGACCCGCGUCGCAUUAGCUAGUUGGUGAGGUAACGGCUCACCAAGGCAACGAUGCGUAGCCGACCUGGGAGGGUGAUCGGCCACGCUGGGACUGAGACACGGCCCAGACUCCUACGGGAGGCAGCAGUAGGGAAUCUUCCGCAAUGGACGAAAGUCUGACGGAGCAACGCCGCGUGAGUGAUGAAGGCUUUCGGGUCGUAAAACUCUGUUGUUAGGGAAGAACAAGUGCUAGUUGAAUAAGCUGGCACCUUGACGGUACCUAACCAGAAAGCCACGGCUAACUACGUGCCAGCCGCCGCCGUAA